UGGAAUUAUCGAGUGUAACAGCAACUCCAUGUGGGCUGUGUACCAACUUCCAGUGGAGAUGCUGUUACUUUUGAUGGUUACCAA
RNAcentral lists this microRNA precursor (84 nucleotides) under Pteropus vampyrus (large flying fox). RNAcentral describes it as "microRNA 194-1 (ENSPVAG00000025569.1)". It matches the Rfam family "mir-194 microRNA precursor family". From Rfam's summary of the family: The hairpin precursors (represented here) are predicted based on base pairing and cross-species conservation -- their extents are not known. In this case the mature sequence is excised from the 5' arm of the hairpin. The record is from RNAcentral. Lineage: Eukaryota; Metazoa; Chordata; Mammalia; Chiroptera; Pteropodidae.